Molecule: unclassified non-coding RNA, 235 nt
Filed under: plant metagenome
Description: partial contains small subunit ribosomal RNA, internal transcribed spacer 1, and 5.8S ribosomal RNA
Source: RNAcentral
UUUCCGUAGGUGAACCUGCGGAAGGAUCAUUAAAGUUAUAGUCCCCCGGCCCCUCCGGGCUGGGGUCUUCUAUACCACCCUUUGUUUAUUACACCUUUGUUGCCUUGGCAGGCCUGCCCUCGGGCUGCUGGCUCCGGCCGGUUCGUGCCUGCCAGAGGACCUAAACUCUGUUUGUAUAUGAAGUCUGAGUACUAUAUAAUAGUUAAAACUUUCAACAACGGAUCUCUUGGUUCUG